Molecule: microRNA precursor, 84 nt
Filed under: Olea europaea subsp. europaea
Lineage: Eukaryota; Viridiplantae; Streptophyta; Magnoliopsida; Lamiales; Oleaceae
Source: RNAcentral
UUGACAGAAGAGAGAGAGCACAACCCGGCAUCGGCAAAAGAGUCUUUGUUUAUGUUGGGAGUGUGCUCUUUCUUCUUCUGUCAU